GAGUGUGUGUGUGUGAAUCUGUGUGUGUGAGUGUGUCAGUGUGCAUGAAUCUGUGUGUGUGAGUGUGUCGGUGUGUGUGAAUCUGUGUGAGUGUGCAGGUCAGACAGAAUGUCUCUGGGAGAGCAGUUGAACACAGACGUUGGGCCUACUUGAGUUUGUCCUGGGCCUACCAGAGUCUGUGAUGCUGGGCCUACUCAAGUCCAUGGUGGCCUACUUGAGACUGCACUGCUGGGCCUAUUUGAGUCUGUGCUGCUGAACCUACUCGAUUCCCCGCUGCUGGGCCUACUCGCUACCAUUCAUGCCGUCGCUGCAACUGAGCUCUUCACCAAGAAGUAAAGCAAAAUAAAAGAGAGAAAGAAACAAGAGAAGAAAUGAAAGGUGAAGUGGGAGUGGUCCCCCCCAGCUCAGACGCCCUGCCCCACCACCAUCUUACUGGGAAGUGAGGGAUCUGAUAGGACUGCCUACAAAAAAAACCAACGCAUCGAUGGCCUGCCGUGCUGCCCCGGUUGGGAAAUCCUCUGAUACCAGGCUUCAUUUUCUACAGAACCUUCAGAUUCUGCAGGACACCCUCUGGCUCCUCUCCUUCUGCUGAGCACUGUCCUGGGCUGAACAUUAUACCAGCUUAUGGAGGCGGUUUCCUUAUCAACCUGCUCUGGAGAUGGUGUGAUAUACCGCCAGAGCAGGUGAGACUGAACUGGGCCUCCUGACCUAGAGGUAGGGCCACUACCAGCAUUCCACAUAAACUAGUUGUUUAGCUAAUUUUGUCUUGAUGAGAGAAGUAUGAUUCAGAAUAAAGCCAGCAGUGCAGGAUCCA
Long non-coding RNA from Rhincodon typus (whale shark), 814 nucleotides. RefSeq lists it as uncharacterized. The transcript is spliced from 2 exons. NCBI's taxonomy places the organism in Eukaryota, Metazoa, Chordata, Chondrichthyes, Orectolobiformes, Rhincodontidae. The record is from RefSeq and is a predicted model, not a curated record.